Phacochoerus africanus (Common warthog) is the source of this 2604-nucleotide RNA transcript. It is a transcript of the gene named endonuclease V, with no coding region annotated. The record is from RefSeq and is a predicted model, not a curated record. The transcript is spliced from 12 exons. NCBI's taxonomy places the organism in Eukaryota, Metazoa, Chordata, Mammalia, Artiodactyla, Suidae.
AUGACGACGGCGUCCAGCGCCUGCGCGCGGCGCUCCGGAAGUGACUCUGCCGGAAGAGCGCUGAGGGUCGCGCCAUGGCCCGAAAGGCGGCGCGGGGGCCGCAGGAGGAGACGUUGUCACUCUGGAAACGGGAGCAAGCCCGGCUGAAGGCUCUUGUCGUGGACCGGGACACGGAGGCGUGGCAGCGAGACCCCGCUUUCUCGGGCCUGCAGAGGGUCGGGGGCGUGGACGUGUCCUUUGUGAAGGACGACAGUGUCAGCGCUUGCGCCUCGCUGGUGGUGCUCAACUACCCUGAGCUCGAGGUGGUGUAUGAGGACUGCCGCAUGGUGAGCCUGACCGCCCCCUAUGUGUCGGGCUACCUGGCCUUCCGAGAGGUUCCCUUCCUGGUGGACGCGGUGCAGCGGCUGCAAGAGAAGGACCCUCAACUCGUGCCCCAGGUCCUUUUUGUGGAUGGAAAUGGGGUGCUCCACCACCGAGGCUUUGGGGUGGCUUGCCACCUCGGUGUCCUUACAGACAUGCCCUGCAUCGGGGUGGCCAAGAAGCUCCUGCAGGUGGACGGGCUGGAGAAUGACGCCGCGCACAGGGAGAAGAUACGGCUCCUGAGGGCUGGAGGAGACUCUUUUCCUCUGAUGGGAGGUUCCGGCGCUGUCCUGGGCAUGGCCCUGAAGAGCCACGACCACAGCACCAAGCCCCUCUACGUCUCCGUGGGCCACAAGAUGAGCCUGGAGACAGCCGUGCGCCUGACCCACAGCUGCUGCAGGUUUCGGAUCCCGGAGCCCGUGCGCCAGGCUGACAUCCGCUCCCGAGACUACAUCCGCAGGACCCUGGCAGUCCAAGGGGCCCCUGUCCUGCAGCCGGAGAGGAGCGGGAAGGCGCAGAGGCCAAAGGCGUGCCCCAAGGGAGUUUCAGAAGAGCCCGCAGGCCGCCACUGAAUCCACAACAGGGGGAGUCUGGUCACCACCGGGGGCCAGGGUGUCAGAGCCCUGGGCCAGGAGAUGCCCUCUCCGGGCACUUGGAUGUUUUCCGGGGCCCGUGACCUCACACUGUGCUGCUGCCAAGCUGGAGAAGGACGGCAGCCUCUCCAUGCGUGUCUUGUCUGCCACACUAGACCGAGGAGCGUCAAACAGGAAUGCAUUCUGGUGCAGCCGGGAGGCUAGACGUCUGAAGGCACGGUGUCAGCAGGUCUUGGUUCCGCGGUCCCUUGGUUCACCUCUUCUCUCCCAGGAUGUCUGUGAAAACCACAGUCCCUCGUGCCUCGAGCAAGGCGCUCCCUUCACCUUCAGCCUCCUGCCUGGGCCCCUGGCAGCGGGGAGAGGGCGAGCCCACCUUCCGGACCGACAGAAGCCACCAGGGUACUUUCCUAAGCUGAGUCAAGCCAGCCUAUGACCUGAACCAGCUCCCUGGGUACAUGAAAGCAGCCGGUUUUAUUUCAAAGAGCAUUUCUGGUUUUUUCUUCUUUCUACAUCUGCGCUAACAUUCUGUGAUUCUUAGAGAACCAGAAUUCUGAAGAGCAAAGCCCAGAGCCAAGAAUGUUUAAGCCAGAAGGGGUUUCUCUGAAGAAGAAAACAGACCCGGCCUCUGCCCCGCCCCAGUUCUGGCUGAGGGGGUGCGGAGCUGUGCAGACCACUCGGGCCGGCUGGCACUGCCAAGGCAACACGGGUGCAGCGAAGCAUGACCACAGGGAGGGCUCAUUUGCCCUGGGCAGGGGGUCGAAGAUGAGUAGGGUUUUAGUCAAGCAAGUUAUUUCUUGGAUGUGACACCAAAAGUUCAGGCAAUAAAAACAAAAUAGAUACGUAGGAUUUCAUCAAAAUAAAACACUUUCAGGUAUCCAACAGUACCUUGGAGAGAGUGAAAAGACAGCCGACAGAAUGGGAGAAAAUACUCCCAACACACACAUCCAACAAAAGAUUAACAUUCUGUAACUCGACAGCCAAGAAACAAACACCUGAUUUUAACAUGGCCAAAGGAUGUGCAUGGGCAUUUGCCAUAAGUGGCCAUAAGCCGUAAGUACACUGCUGGUUGGAAUGUAAAAUGCUACCGCCUCUGUGGAAACGGGGCGGCAGUUCCUCAAAGCCCAUAUGCACAGAAUUGCCCUGUGACAGCGCCUAGGGAGAACCCCGAAAGCAUCGAAAGUAAGGACUCAAACGGAUACUUGAACCCCCGUGUUCUCAGCACUGUUCGCCACAGCCGAAUAGUGGGAUGAACCCGUGGCCAUCAGCAGAUGAGUGGGUAAAUCAGUGUGGUCCGUCCGUGCAAUGGAAUAUUAUGCAGCCAUGAAAGGAAUGACCUCUGACACCUGCUGCAGCAUGGACGAACCUCGAAAACUUUACACUAAGUGGAAGAAGCCCGACACAAAAGGACCAAUAGUGUCUGAUUCACUUAUAUGAGGUCCCCGGGGGAGGUAAAUUCAGGGACAGAAAGUAACUUAGCCAUUUCAGGGGCUGGGGGAGCAGGGAGGGAGUUAGAUUUACUGAGUACAGGGUUUCUGUUUGGGGUGAUAAAGGCGUGUUAGAAAUCGAUAGCAGUGAUAGUUGUACAACAUCGUGACUAUAAUUAAUGCCAAUGAAGUGUACACUUAAAAAUGGUGAAAAUGGUACGUUUUAU